Non-coding RNA from Triticum aestivum (bread wheat), 82 nucleotides. NCBI's taxonomy places the organism in Eukaryota, Viridiplantae, Streptophyta, Magnoliopsida, Poales, Poaceae. The record is from Rfam.
UUCUCCGAUGAUGACCUAAAUAAUACUUUCGUUCUUCUGAAAUUCACAAUGUGGAAGAACUGGAGACCUGAACUGAGGAGAC